Molecule: ribosomal RNA, 909 nt
Filed under: Microbacteriaceae bacterium DAB_ATA88
Lineage: Bacteria; Bacillati; Actinomycetota; Actinomycetes; Micrococcales; Microbacteriaceae
Description: bacterial SSU rRNA
Rfam family: Bacterial small subunit ribosomal RNA
Source: RNAcentral
GGGCGUAAAGAGCUCGUAGGCGGUUUGUCGCGUCUGCUGUGAAAACUGGAGGCUCAACCUCCCAGCCUGCAGUGGGUACGGGCAGACUAGAGUGCGGUAGGGGAGAUUGGAAUUCCUGGUGUAGCGGUGGAAUGCGCAGAUAUCAGGAGGAACACCGAUGGCGAAGGCAGAUCUCUGGGCCGUAACUGACGCUGAGGAGCGAAAGCAUGGGGAGCGAACAGGAUUAGAUACCCUGGUAGUCCAUGCCGUAAACGUUGGGAACUAGAUGUGGGGGCCAUUCCACGGUCUCCGUGUCGCAGCUAACGCAUUAAGUUCCCCGCCUGGGGAGUACGGCCGCAAGGCUAAAACUCAAAGGAAUUGACGGGGGCCCGCACAAGCGGCGGAGCAUGCGGAUUAAUUCGAUGCAACGCGAAGAACCUUACCAAGGCUUGACAUAUACGAGAACGGGCCAGAAAUGGUCAACUCUUUGGACACUCGUAAACAGGUGGUGCAUGGUUGUCGUCAGCUCGUGUCGUGAGAUGUUGGGUUAAGUCCCGCAACGAGCGCAACCCUCGUUCUAUGUUGCCAGCACGUUAUGGUGGGAACUCAUAGGAGACUGCCGGGGUCAACUCGGAGGAAGGUGGGGAUGACGUCAAAUCAUCAUGCCCCUUAUGUCUUGGGCUUCACGCAUGCUACAAUGGCCGGUACAAAGGGCUGCAAUACCGUAAGGUGGAGCGAAUCCCAAAAAGCCGGUCUCAGUUCGGAUUGAGGUCUGCAACUCGACCUCAUGAAGUCGGAGUCGCUAGUAAUCGCAGAUCAGCAACGCUGCGGUGAAUACGUUCCCGGGCCUUGUACACACCGCCCGUCAAGUCAUGAAAGUCGGUAACACCCAACGCCAGUGGCCUAACCCCUUGUGGGAGGGAGCUGUCU